RNAcentral lists this unclassified non-coding RNA (659 nucleotides) under Candida albicans. RNAcentral's name for it is "sequence contains 18S rRNA gene, ITS1, 5.8S rRNA gene, ITS2, 28S rRNA gene". The stretch from base 183 to 336 matches the Rfam family "5.8S ribosomal RNA". Lineage: Eukaryota; Fungi; Ascomycota; Pichiomycetes; Serinales; Debaryomycetaceae. The record is from RNAcentral.
UCGUAACAAGGUUUCCGUAGGUGAACCUGCGGAAGGAUCAUUACUGAUUUGCUUAAUUGCACCACAUGUGUUUUUCUUUGAAACAAACUUGCUUUGGCGGUGGGCCCAGCCUGCCGCCAGAGGUCUAAACUUACAACCAAUUUUUUAUCAACUUGUCACACCAGAUUAUUACUAAUAGUCAAAACUUUCAACAACGGAUCUCUUGGUUCUCGCAUCGAUGAAGAACGCAGCGAAAUGCGAUACGUAAUAUGAAUUGCAGAUAUUCGUGAAUCAUCGAAUCUUUGAACGCACAUUGCGCCCUCUGGUAUUCCGGAGGGCAUGCCUGUUUGAGCGUCGUUUCUCCCUCAAACCGCUGGGUUUGGUGUUGAGCAAUACGACUUGGGUUUGCUUGAAAGACGGUAGUGGUAAGGCGGGAUCGCUUUGACAAUGGCUUAGGUCUAACCAAAAACAUUGCUUGCGGCGGUAACGUCCACCACGUAUAUCUUCAAACUUUGACCUCAAAUCAGGUAGGACUACCCGCUGAACUUAAGCAUAUCAAUAAGCGGAGGAAAAGAAACCAACAGGGAUUGCCUCAGUAGCGGCGAGUGAAGCGGCAAAAGCUCAAAUUUGAAAUCUGGCGUCUUUGGCGUCCGAGUUGUAAUUUGAAGAAGGUAUCUUUG